Molecule: ribosomal RNA, 352 nt
Filed under: uncultured bacterium
Lineage: Bacteria
Description: partial 16S ribosomal RNA
Rfam family: Bacterial small subunit ribosomal RNA
Source: RNAcentral
CCUACGGGUGGCAGCAGUGGGGGAUAUUGCACAAUGGGGGGAACCCUGAUGCAGCGACGCCGCGUGGGUGAAGGAGUGCUUCGGCAUGUAAAGCCCUAUCGGCAGGGAAGAAGCAAGACGGUACCUGACUAAGAAGCCCCGGCUAACUACGUGCCAGCAGCCGCGGUAAUACGUAGGGGGCGAGCGUUAUCCGGAUUCACUGGGUGUAAAGGGGGCGCAGACGGCCAUGCAAGCCAGGGGUGAAAGCCCGGGGCCCAACCCCGGGACUGCUCUUGGAACUGCGCGGGUGGAGUGCGGGAGGGGAGGGAGGACUUCGUGGUGGAGCGGUGAAAUGCGGAGAUAUAAGGAGGAA